AAAAAAAAAGUAACCUGCCCUUGACUUUGGGAUAACUUCAGGAAACUGGGGCUAAUACCGGAUAGGAGCUCCUGCUGCAUGGUGGGGGUUGGAAAGUUUCGGCGGUUGGGGAUGGACUCGCGGCUUAUCAGCUUGUUGGUGGGGUAGUGGCUUACCAAGGCUUUGACGGGUAGCCGGCCUGAGAGGGUGCCCGGCCACAUUGGGCCGGAGAUACGGCCCAGACUCCUACGGGAGGCAGCAGUGGGGAAUAUUGCACAAUGGGCGGAAGCCUGAUUCAGCUUUUUUU
This 286-nucleotide ribosomal RNA is filed under the name uncultured bacterium. RNAcentral describes it as "partial 16S ribosomal RNA". It matches the Rfam family "Bacterial small subunit ribosomal RNA", at positions 112 to 392 of the family's 1533-position model. The record is from RNAcentral.